RNAcentral lists this transfer RNA (76 nucleotides) under Peptococcaceae bacterium. RNAcentral describes it as "tRNA-Trp". It matches the Rfam family "tRNA". Rfam says of the family: Transfer RNA (tRNA) molecules are approximately 80 nucleotides in length. Their secondary structure includes four short double-helical elements and three loops (D, anti-codon, and T loops). The record is from RNAcentral. RNAcentral also lists the same sequence under 2 other names. Lineage: Bacteria; Bacillati; Bacillota; Clostridia; Eubacteriales; Peptococcaceae.
AGGGGUGUAGCUCAAUUGGAAGAGUAGCGGACUCCAAAUCCGUUGGUUGCGGGUUCGAUCCCUGCCACCCCUGCCA